This 283-nucleotide unclassified non-coding RNA is filed under the name Hevea brasiliensis (rubber tree). Lineage: Eukaryota; Viridiplantae; Streptophyta; Magnoliopsida; Malpighiales; Euphorbiaceae. The record is from RNAcentral.
AGAAAAUGUUGGUGCUGCAAUGCAAUUUCUUCAGUCUAAAGCACUAUGUAUAAUGCCUAUUUCUCUUGCAUCAGCAAUUUAUCACUCUCAGCCACCAGAUACAUCAAGUCUUGUUAAGCCAGAAACAAAUCCUCCUUCAUAGAUGAACACCCUUAUAGAAAAAGGUGACAUCAUAACAUGCUAAUGACCUUAAAGAAUUUUCUUGCAGUGGAUGGUUCCUACUUUUAUCUAUUCAAGUAAUAUUUAGCUUUUCGUUGAAAAAACAGGGUUCUUUUUUAAAAAU